CCUCUGCACCCAUGCAAGGAAGGUUCUUCGCCAGCCAGACCAGGGCUAUUUUAAAAGACCAGCGCCUAUCCCCAGCCAUUAAGGUAAAGAUAGCCAGUCUGGCUGCUCACUGUCUUCUCAGAAAAAGGACCACUUCCCAGUUAUAGUCCCAGGCCUGCCUAGCAGGACACUCGGACUAGUCGGAGCUCCAUUAAGCACAUAACCCCUAUACUCAAAAGAGAUCGUGUCACUGGUUCACUUAGAGGAAAGCUCGUUUUAGAAAGAAUGUUUUAUUUUGCGGGGGAUGAAGGAAAUGCACAACUCUGGGUUCUGUCGGCACAUUGCUGAACUGCAAGUCACGUGCCAGAUCCAGAAAUGAUGAAAACAUCUGUUUUUGCUUUAGCCCAGCGAGGCCCCGACAGUGGGGAGGGGAGGGACCGGACCGAGAUCGCUUUGCUCACGAGCGCCAUCUGCCGAGCCUGCGCGGGAAAUGCGUGAAUAUCCGGCACAAUGCAGGUUACUCACCCCCAGGAAGGGACAGAUCCACAGGUGGGGGUCUGUACCCGAGAGACCACUAUCUUCAGAGAACAGCCCUGGCUGUGACCCGGGAACUUUGCAACUCUGAAUUGUCUCGAAGAGUACUCAACAAAGAGAUCUGUCCCUGGAGACUGCUCUAGGCAGAGGAAGAGGCCGAGGGAGGCAGCGAAUGAAUUCCCAGGUUGUAAAGGAAAGAGUUCAUGUAUGAAGAGUAUUCUCAGAUGAGUUUGGAAUGCCUUUUAAAGAAGAGCAAGCCCCCAGAAGUCUACCAGCUCCUAUUCAAGCCAUGUGAAGACAGGAAACAGCUGCCUGUACCAGUAUUUCCAGAACUAUGUCAAAGAAGAGGCAGGAGAAAAAAAAGUCCUACUAUAGGGUUCAGAGAAAGAAGCAAAAAGCAAUUUGAUAAUUUUUAUUUUAGAGCCUGUGUUGCUUGGGAGCUGUAGACUUCCAGGCGUGAAGACUAAGGGACAUACCAUAAAUCCUUAGGGAGGGAGGCAGAGGUCUAGGGUAUAAAUCCAGUAGUAGAGUGCUACCUUAGCAUGCACAAGACUCUGUGUUCAAUCCCUAGGACCAAAAGGUGGGGAAGGGCUGAGCAAUCCUGGGAAAUAACCUUAAAAGAUUCAGAAAAUCACCUCCUUAACCAACUGUCUCAUACAUAGUUACAGUUCUCAGGGAGGCACUGUGGAAGAAUUCUGUUUACUUCAAAACAGUCAUCAACACACCUCCUCACCCACCAGCCAACACAACUCCCAGCUCAUCAACCAGCACACAGACAUUGUGUUCUUCCAGG
RNAcentral lists this long non-coding RNA (1306 nucleotides) under Cricetulus griseus (Chinese hamster). RNAcentral's name for it is "lncRNA (ENSCGRG00015013183.2)". The record is from RNAcentral. Lineage: Eukaryota; Metazoa; Chordata; Mammalia; Rodentia; Cricetidae.